Small nucleolar RNA from Callithrix jacchus (white-tufted-ear marmoset), 104 nucleotides. The record is from Ensembl. NCBI's taxonomy places the organism in Eukaryota, Metazoa, Chordata, Mammalia, Primates, Cebidae.
AUCCUUUUGUGAUUCAUAAACAUGAUGACUGGGUUUUGAUCCUUAGGUGUGAGAUGCGCCUCCCUCAAAUCUUGCUAUGACAUCUGUACAUUACUCAACUGACA